UGGGGAAUAUUGGGCAAUGGAGGCAACUCUGACCCAGCAACGCCGCGUGAGGGAAGAAGGUUUUCGGAGUGUAAACCUCUGUCCUUGGGGACGACGAAAGUGACGGUACCCAAGGAGGAAGCCCCGGCUAACUACGUGCCAGCAGCCGCGGUAAUACGUAGGGGGCAAGCGUUGUCCGGAAUUACUGGGCGUAAAGGGUGCGUAGGCGGUUAUUUAAGUCAGAUGUGAAAUCCCCGGGCUUAACUCGGGUGGUGCAUUUGAAACUGGGUAACUAGAGUGCAGGAGAGGGAAGCGGAAUUCCUAGUGUAGCGGUGAAAUGCGUAGAUAUUAGGAGGAACACCAGUGGCGAAGGCGGCUUUCUGGACUGUAACUGACGCUGAGGCACGAAAGCGUGGGGAGCAAACA
RNAcentral lists this ribosomal RNA (405 nucleotides) under uncultured prokaryote. Its description in RNAcentral is "bacterial SSU rRNA". It matches the Rfam family "Bacterial small subunit ribosomal RNA", at positions 355 to 774 of the family's 1533-position model. The record is from RNAcentral.